RNAcentral lists this ribosomal RNA (406 nucleotides) under uncultured bacterium. RNAcentral's name for it is "bacterial SSU rRNA". It matches the Rfam family "Bacterial small subunit ribosomal RNA", at positions 77 to 479 of the family's 1533-position model. The record is from RNAcentral.
GAGCAAUCCUGGUGGCGAGUGGCGAGCGGGUGAGUAAUAUAUCGGAACGUGCCCAGUCGUGGGGGAUAACGUAGCGAAAGCUACGCUAAUACCGCAUACGAUCUAUGGAUGAAAGCGGGGGAUCGCAAGACCUCGCGCGAUUGGAGCGGCCGAUAUCAGAUUAGGUAGUUGGUGAGGUAAAGGCUCACCAAGCCGACGAUCUGUAGCUGGUCUGAGAGGACGACCAGCCACACUGGGACUGAGACACGGCCCAGACUCCUACGGGAGGCAGCAGUGGGGAAUUUUGGACAAUGGGCGCAAGCCUGAUCCAGCAAUGCCGCGUGCAGGAUGAAGGCCUUCGGGUUGUAAACUGCUUUUGUACGGAGCGAAAAGGCUUCCACUAAUACUGGGGGCUCAUGACGGUACC